UUGGAGGGCAAGUCUGGUGCCAGCAGCCGCGGUAAUUCCAGCUCCAAUAGCGUAUAUUAAAGUUGUUGCAGUUAAAAAGCUCGUAGUUGAAUUUCGGGAUCAGUACGCUGGUCAUGCCUUUGGUAUGCACUGGUGUCACUGGUUUCUCCCUUCUGAAGAACCGUGAUGUCAUUAAUUUGGUGUCGCGGGGAAUCAGGACUGUUACUUUGAAAAAAUUAGAGUGUUUAAAGCAGGCUCACGCUUGAAUACAUUAGCAUGGAAUAAUGAAAUAGGACGUUUGACCCUAUUUUGUUGGUUUCUAGGAUCGACGUAAUGAUUAAUAGGGAUAGUUGGGGGCAUUAGUAUUCAAUUGUCAGAGGUGAAAUUCUUGGAUUUAUUGAAGACUAACUACUGCGAAAGCAUUUGCCAAGGAUGUUUUCAUUAAUCAAGAACGAAAGUUAGGGGAUCGAAGACGAUCAGAUACCGUCGUAGUCUUAACCAUAAACUAUGCCGACUAGGGAUCGGAUGAUGUUAAUUUUAUAAUGACUCAUUCGGCGCCUUACGGGAAACA
Molecule: ribosomal RNA, 550 nt
Filed under: uncultured Glomus
Lineage: Eukaryota; Fungi; Glomeromycota; Glomeromycetes; Glomerales; Glomeraceae
Description: SSU rRNA
Rfam family: Eukaryotic small subunit ribosomal RNA
Source: RNAcentral